GGGUUGUGAGGUUAAGCGACUAAGCGUACACGGUGGAUGCCCUGGCAGUCAGAGGCGAUGAAGGACGUGCUAAUCUGCGAUAAGCGUCGGUAAGGUGAUAUGAACCGUUAUAACCGGCGAUUUCCGAAUGGGGAAACCCAGUGUGAUUCGUCACACUAUCAUUAACUGAAUCCAUAGGUUAAUGAGGCGAACCGGGGGAACUGAAACAUCUAAGUACCCCGAGGAAAAGAAAUCAACCGAGAUUCCCCCAGUAGCGGCGAGCGAACGGGGAGGAGCCCAGAGCCUGAAUCAGUGUGUGUGUUAGUGGAAGCGUCUGGAAAGGCGCGCGAUACAGGGUGACAGCCCCGUACACAAAAAUGCACAUGCUGUGAGCUCGAUGAGUAGGGCGGGACACGUGGUAUCCUGUCUGAAUAUGGGGGGACCAUCCUCCAAGGCUAAAUACUCCUGACUGACCGAUAGUGAACCAGUACCGUGAGGGAAAGGCGAAAAGAACCCCGGCGAGGGGAGUGAAAAAGAACCUGAAACCGUGUACGUACAAGCAGUGGGAGCACGCUUAGGCGUGUGACUGCGUACCUUUUGUAUAAUGGGUCAGCGACUUAUAUUCUGUAGCAAGGUUAACCGAAUAGGGGAGCCGAAGGGAAACCGAGUCUUAACUGGGCGUUAAGUUGCAGGGUAUAGACCCGAAACCCGGUGAUCUAGCCAUGGGCAGGUUGAAGGUUGGGUAACACUAACUGGAGGACCGAACCGACUAAUGUUGAAAAAUUAGCGGAUGACUUGUGGCUGGGGGUGAAAGGCCAAUCAAACCGGGAGAUAGCUGGUUCUCCCCGAAAGCUAUUUAGGUAGCGCCUCGUGAAUUCAUCUCCGGGGGUAGAGCACUGUUUCGGCAAGGGGGUCAUCCCGACUUACCAACCCGAUGCAAACUGCGAAUACCGGAGAAUGUUAUCACGGGAGACACACGGCGGGUGCUAACGUCCGUCGUGAAGAGGGAAACAACCCAGACCGCCAGCUAAGGUCCCAAAGUCAUGGUUAAGUGGGAAACGAUGUGGGAAGGCCCAGACAGCCAGGAUGUUGGCUUAGAAGCAGCCAUCAUUUAAAGAAAGCGUAAUAGCUCACUGGUCGAGUCGGCCUGCGCGGAAGAUGUAACGGGGCUAAACCAUGCACCGAAGCUGCGGCAGCGACGCUGAUGCGUUGUUGGGUAGGGGAGCGUUCUGUAAGCCUGCGAAGGUGUGCUGUGAGGCAUGCUGGAGGUAUCAGAAGUGCGAAUGCUGACAUAAGUAACGAUAAAGCGGGUGAAAAGCCCGCUCGCCGGAAGACCAAGGGUUCCUGUCCAACGUUAAUCGGGGCAGGGUGAGUCGACCCCUAAGGCGAGGCCGAAAGGCGUAGUCGAUGGGAAACAGGUUAAUAUUCCUGUACUUGGUGUUACUGCGAAGGGGGGACGGAGAAGGCUAUGUUGGCCGGGCGACGGUUGUCCCGGUUUAAGCGUGUAGGCUGGUUUUCCAGGCAAAUCCGGAAAAUCAAGGCUGAGGCGUGAUGACGAGGCACUACGGUGCUGAAGCAACAAAUGCCCUGCUUCCAGGAAAAGCCUCUAAGCAUCAGGUAACAUCAAAUCGUACCCCAAACCGACACAGGUGGUCAGGUAGAGAAUACCAAGGCGCUUGAGAGAACUCGGGUGAAGGAACUAGGCAAAAUGGUGCCGUAACUUCGGGAGAAGGCACGCUGAUAUGUAGGUGAAGUCCCUCGCGGAUGGAGCUGAAAUCAGUCGAAGAUACCAGCUGGCUGCAACUGUUUAUUAAAAACACAGCACUGUGCAAACACGAAAGUGGACGUAUACGGUGUGACGCCUGCCCGGUGCCGGAAGGUUAAUUGAUGGGGUUAGCGCAAGCGAAGCUCUUGAUCGAAGCCCCGGUAAACGGCGGCCGUAACUAUAACGGUCCUAAGGUAGCGAAAUUCCUUGUCGGGUAAGUUCCGACCUGCACGAAUGGCGUAAUGAUGGCCAGGCUGUCUCCACCCGAGACUCAGUGAAAUUGAACUCGCUGUGAAGAUGCAGUGUACCCGCGGCAAGACGGAAAGACCCCGUGAACCUUUACUAUAGCUUGACACUGAACAUUGAGCCUUGAUGUGUAGGAUAGGUGGGAGGCUUUGAAGUGUGGACGCCAGUCUGCAUGGAGCCGACCUUGAAAUACCACCCUUUAAUGUUUGAUGUUCUAACGUUGACCCGUAAUCCGGGUUGCGGACAGUGUCUGGUGGGUAGUUUGACUGGGGCGGUCUCCUCCUAAAGAGUAACGGAGGAGCACGAAGGUUGGCUAAUCCUGGUCGGACAUCAGGAGGUUAGUGCAAUGGCAUAAGCCAGCUUGACUGCGAGCGUGACGGCGCGAGCAGGUGCGAAAGCAGGUCAUAGUGAUCCGGUGGUUCUGAAUGGAAGGGCCAUCGCUCAACGGAUAAAAGGUACUCCGGGGAUAACAGGCUGAUACCGCCCAAGAGUUCAUAUCGACGGCGGUGUUUGGCACCUCGAUGUCGGCUCAUCACAUCCUGGGGCUGAAGUAGGUCCCAAGGGUAUGGCUGUUCGCCAUUUAAAGUGGUACGCGAGCUGGGUUUAGAACGUCGUGAGACAGUUCGGUCCCUAUCUGCCGUGGGCGCUGGAGAAUUGAGGGGGGCUGCUCCUAGUACGAGAGGACCGGAGUGGACGCAUCACUGGUGUUCGGGUUGUCAUGCCAAUGGCACUGCCCGGUAGCUAAAUGCGGAAGAGAUAAGUGCUGAAAGCAUCUAAGCACGAAACUUGCCCCGAGAUGAGUUCUCCCUGACUCCUUGAGAGUCCUGAAGGAACGUUGAAGACGACGACGUUGAUAGGCCGGGUGUGUAAGCGCAGCGAUGCGUUGAGCUAACCGGUACUAAUGAACCGUGAGGCUUAACCUUACAACGCCGAAG
This 2925-nucleotide ribosomal RNA is filed under the name Escherichia coli. RNAcentral's name for it is "23S ribosomal RNA". It matches the Rfam family "Bacterial large subunit ribosomal RNA". The record is from RNAcentral. Lineage: Bacteria; Pseudomonadati; Pseudomonadota; Gammaproteobacteria; Enterobacterales; Enterobacteriaceae.